CAAGACGUAGCUAUAAGCCUAAAGCAUUCAGCUUACACCUGAAAGAUAUCCAAACCCACGGAUCGUCUUGA
Molecule: transfer RNA, 71 nt
Filed under: Heliornis fulica (sungrebe)
Lineage: Eukaryota; Metazoa; Chordata; Aves; Gruiformes; Heliornithidae
Description: tRNA-Val
Source: RNAcentral